Molecule: ribosomal RNA, 947 nt
Filed under: bacterium enrichment culture clone 3_48
Lineage: Bacteria
Description: bacterial SSU rRNA
Rfam family: Bacterial small subunit ribosomal RNA
Source: RNAcentral
GGCUCAGGACGAACGCUGGCGGCGUGCUUAACACAUGCAAGUCUACGAGAACGAGGUAGCAAUAUCUCUAUUAAAGUGGCGCACGGGUGCGUAACACGUAAGCAAUCUACCUUUGGGUCUGGAAUAACUUCGAGAAAUCGGGGCUAAUACCGGAUAAUGCAGCGGCACCGCAUGGUGAUGUUGUUAAAGUUUAAGUAAUGCCUUUAGAUGAGCUUGCGUCUGAUUAGCUAGUUGGUAGAGUAAUAGCCUACCAAGGCAACGAUCAGUAGCUGGUCUGAGAGGAUGAUCAGCCACACUGGAACUGAGACACGGUCCAGACUCCUACGGGAGGCAGCAGUGAGGAAUAUUGGGCAAUGCCCGCAAGGGUGACCCAGCAACGCCGCGUGGAGGAUGAAGGCCGUAAGGUUGUAAACUCCUGUUAGAGGAGAAGAAUAGUACCGAUUGGAUCGGUAUUUGACUGUACCCUCAGAGAAAGCCCCGGCUAACUACGUGCCAGCAGCCGCGGUAAUACGUAGGGGGCAAGCGUUGUCCGGAUUUACUGGGUGUAAAGGGCGCGCAGGCGGGAUAGCAAGUCAGAGGUGAAAUCCUACAGCUUAACUGUAGAACUGCCUUUGAUACUGUUAUUCUUGAGUUCGGGAGAGAGAGACGGAAUUCCAGGUGUAGUGGUGAAAUACGUAGAUAUCUGGAAGAACACCAGUUGCGAAGGCGGUCUCUUGGUCCGAUACUGACGCUGAGGCGCGAAAGCGUGGGGGAGCAAACAGGAUUAGAUACCCUGGUAGUCCACGCUGUAAACGAUGAAUACUAGGUGUUGGGUUUUUAACUCAGUGCCGCAGCUAACGCAUUAAGUAUUCCACCUGGAAGUACGAUCGCAAGGUUGAAACUCAAGGAAUUGACGGGGGCCCGCACAAGCAGUGGAGCAUGUGGUUUAAUUCGAUGCAACGCGAGAC